GAAGGAAAAUCAUUACCAUCUUCAUUUUUUCGAAUUGAAAAAAUAAAUAAAGUAGGGUUUAAUUUUACUGUUGUUUGAUUUAGUCCUCAGCACCAUUCGUGGUAUUUUUACUUAUUCACUACCCGAUAAAUAAAACCCAUUUUUUAAUUUUAUGGAUUUUGGUGUGAUUUUGUUUUUUAAUGUUUUCUUGGUGAUUGAAUUUUGGGUUUCUAGCCGUCCCCAAUUUUAGUCGACCCAGGCAGCAAAGAGAGUUUGCCCCUGUUUGCUUUCCUUUUCUCACCAGAUAUCUCUGCCAGCAUGAUCCGCCAAACUUGCCGAUCGCGUCUGCUCUCGCUGACCAGGUCUUCGACUCCCUAAAAGGCUGAUUAACACCAGCAACCACAACACCAACAAUGACUAAUGCAACUUAGUCGCAGGUGAGGAUUGCAAGGUUUUUUCAUUUCUCUGGUAUUGAUUCAUCGAGUUUGCAUGUGGCUGAAAAUGGUGUUUCAGUUGCGAGGAACAACACAUUUACAAAGUAUAUUCAAGAAUGUGUGGUCGGUUGUUUCUGAUGUUAUGAUUUUGUUAUCAAUUUAAAAACCGUGGUUUGUACUUUUAGUAUUACUUUGGCAUUUUGGUGUAAUGGAUUUUUUUGUACCUAAUUGCAGACCUUUCGUUUGCUCAUGAUUUAGUAGUUGACUGAGUAUCCAUGUUUAUACAUACGUUGAUCUUUUUUUAGGCAACGUGUUCAUUUGGCUAAAAUUUUGUGAUCAGUUUUCUUCCCUGGAAAUUUUCCAAUUAGUUUAAUUCUAUUUGAAUAUGUAUUAUUUCUUUGUUCAACAUGGAUACCUUUUGGUUUGUUGGUUAGGCAUUUUGAGUGCUUAUCAGUUAUUCACUAAAGGUGGUUUUAUUGGAACUACUUGAACUUCUUCGGAUGCCUGUCUUAAAAGCAAAUGGAGAGGGUGUAGCACUGUGUAUGCAGUUAAAUGAUGAUGUUGUAUUUGAUAUGCACAAAAUGAUUUCAUCAAUUGUGUUGUAUCUACUAUAUGUAUGCAAAACAUAUUGCUAGCUAAGCUUAUUGUUAUUAACCCUUCCCUCCUACCUUUCGAUUUCUGUUAUGAUGUGCAGGCUAUUGAAUUUGGGAGAAAGCUUGCAUGCAAACUCUUUUUUGCAUAAUGUUCUUGAGUGAGUCCCUUGAACUUUGCCUUGAAGUGUCUGUAUAUUCUCAUCCACUUUGUUGUAUUGCUAGGAAAUUUUGAGUGGAAAGAAGUUCAAAGAAAAAUACUCAAGCAAAAUUACAUUUGAUCUACAAAUGGUUGGACUGACAUAUUUCUUAAACAAUGAAGGCGUGAAAUAUAAGUGGACAAUUACAAUUUUUGUUUUCAUGUCAAACCAACUUGCGUCACAUAUAUUUUGCCAUUGUUGACAUAUUUUCUUCCUUUGUUUUGAACAAUGCUUUUAUGUUACACCGGGAAAAAUCUAUUUGAGGAUGGGAACCACCUGUAUUGGUUCUUGGAUGAUGAUCCAAUUGUAUCUCGGUUUCAGAAUAGGAAGGGAUAACCGAGUUGAGUUCAUGGAUUAGAGUAGUGUGCAUGUGCAGAUGCUUUUUAUUUUUUCAAUUGAUGCUUUAGCAGUUUCUAUUAUCUACUUUUUCGGCUAUAAAUCGUAUAUAUUAUUUCAAAA
Pyrus x bretschneideri (Chinese white pear) is the source of this 1662-nucleotide long non-coding RNA. RefSeq lists it as uncharacterized. NCBI's taxonomy places the organism in Eukaryota, Viridiplantae, Streptophyta, Magnoliopsida, Rosales, Rosaceae. The record is from RefSeq and is a predicted model, not a curated record. The transcript is spliced from 4 exons.